Molecule: ribosomal RNA, 795 nt
Filed under: Triticum aestivum (bread wheat)
Lineage: Eukaryota; Viridiplantae; Streptophyta; Magnoliopsida; Poales; Poaceae
Description: partial small subunit ribosomal RNA
Source: RNAcentral
AUGAAGAGGAAGAGAGGCGAGCCUGAGCUGGAGUACGGGGCCUCGUCCGGGGUGGAUGAGAGGUCCAACGAGAGCAGCGACAAGAUGCAGGGCCAGCUCCUAGCCGCUGCGCGCGGCGCCGACGGGGGCAAUGCCAAGUUCGCGUGGUAUGGCGCUCCAUCGGUGGAUGUGGCCGCGACGGCGGUGGAGCACGGGUUCGGCAGGAUGAACAACCGGGUCCUUUUCCAUCGCGCGCACGGCGACGACGUCCACCUCUCGCCGCCUCGGUCUCCUUAUGCCAGCGCAAUGCUAGCAAAUGCAGAUGAGAACGGCGAGGCGCAUAUCAUGUUGUGCCGUGUUCUGUUGGGCCGGCCAGAGGCCAUCCCGGCCGGGUCCUCCAAGCUCCACCCCAGCAGUGACAAUUACGACAGUGCCAUCGACAACAUGCAGAACCCACAGUGGUAUGUUGUUUGGGGCAAGGACAUGAACAUGAGGAUCCUCCCAGAGUACGUCGUCAGCUUCAAGUGUCCCAACCUCCAUCAGAUGCAAGGAUCAUCGGGAGCGAACUCCACGCUAAAGAAGCCUUCGCCGGUGGCUCAUGACAUGUUUCCGACGCUUCUAGCAGAGAUCCAGUGGUUCAUGCCAUCUUCCAAGCUGCAGACAUUGCAGGGAACCUACAAUUGCUUCAAGCCAGCUGCAAUGAAGUCCUCCAUAGAGAAGGGUUUGCAGAAAAUGAUCUUGGCAUCCCAGAUAAGCAGGUCGGGGUCAAAGCCGGUGCCCGGGGGAUUUCAAUGGAUCACCAACACGAGAAACUGA